This 468-nucleotide ribosomal RNA is filed under the name uncultured Anaerolineaceae bacterium. RNAcentral describes it as "bacterial SSU rRNA". It matches the Rfam family "Bacterial small subunit ribosomal RNA", at positions 903 to 1382 of the family's 1533-position model. Lineage: Bacteria; Bacillati; Chloroflexota; Anaerolineae; Anaerolineales; Anaerolineaceae. The record is from RNAcentral.
UACAAAGGAAUUGACGGGACCCGCACAAGCAGCGGAGCGUGUGGUUUAAUUCGUUGCUACACGAAGAACCUUACCUGGGUUUGACAUAUAGGUUGUAGGGAACUGAAAAGGGACCGACCCUUCGGGGAGCCUAUACAGGUGUUGCAUGGCUGUCGUCAGCUCGUGUCGUGAGAUGUUCGGUUAAGUCCGCUAACGAGCGCAACCCUCGUCGUAUGUUAUAUGUGUCAUACGAGACUGCCGGUAAAAAGCCGGAGGAAGGUGAGGAUGAUGUCAAGUCAGCAUGACCUUUAUAUCCAGGGCUACACACACGCUACAAUGGUCUGUACAAUGGAUAGCCAAGCCGCGAGGCGGAGCCAAUCCUGAAAGCAGGCCUCAGUUCAGAUUGCAGUCUGCAACUCGACUGCAUGAAGCCGGAGUUGCUAGUAACCGCAGGUCAGCAAUACUGCGGUGAAUACGUUCCCGGGUCUU